AACGCUAGCUACAGGCUUAACACAUGCAAGUCGAGGGGCAUCAGGGUAGCAAUACCGCUGGCGACCGGCGCACGGGUGAGUAACACGUAUCCAACCUACCGUUAACUCGGGGAUAGCCUUUCGAAAGAAAGAUUAAUACCCGAUAGUAUAUUUUCUUCGCAUGUUGAAAAUAUUAAAGAAUUUCGGUUAUCGAUGGGGAUGCGUUCCAUUAGGCAGUUGGCGGGGUAACGGCCCACCAAACCUACGAUGGAUAGGGGUUCUGAGAGGAAGGUCCCCCACAUUGGAACUGAGACACGGUCCAAACUCCUACGGGAGGCAGCAGUGAGGAAUAUUGGUCAAUGGACGAAGGUCUGAACCAGCCAAGUAGCGUGAAGGAUGACUGCCCUAUGGGUUGUAAACUUCUUUUAUAUGGGAAUAAAGUUCUCCACGUGUGGAGUUUUGUAUGUACCAUUAUGAAUAAGCAUCGGCUAACUCCGUGCCAGCAGCCGCGGUAAUACGGAGGAUGCGAGCGUUAUCCGGAUUUAUUGGGUUUAAAGGGAGCGUAGGUUGACAUAUAAGUCAGCUGUGAAAGUUUACGGCUCAACCGUGAAAUUGCAGUUGAUACUGUAUGUCUUGAGUGUACAAGAGGUGGGCGGAAUUCGUGGUGUAGCGGUGAAAUGCUUAGAUAUCACGAAGAACUCCGAUUG
Molecule: ribosomal RNA, 686 nt
Filed under: uncultured bacterium
Lineage: Bacteria
Description: bacterial SSU rRNA
Rfam family: Bacterial small subunit ribosomal RNA
Source: RNAcentral